AACGAACGCUGGCGGCAUGCCUAACACAUGCAAGUCGAACGAGACCUUCGGGUCUAGUGGCGCACGGGUGCGUAACGCGUGGGAACCUGCCCUUAGGUUCGGAAUAACUCCCCGAAAGGGGUGCUAAUACCGGAUAAUGUCUUCGGACCAAAGAUUUAUCGCCUUUGGAAGGGCCCGCGUUGGAUUAGCUAGUUGGUAGGGUAAAAGCCUACCAAGGCGACGAUCCAUAGCUGGUCUGAGAGGAUGAUCAGCCACACUGGGACUGAGACACGGCCCAGACUCCUACGGGAGGCAGCAGUGGGGAAUAUUGGACAAUGGGCGAAAGCCUGAUCCAGCAAUGCCGCGUGAGUGAUGAAGGCCUUAGGGUUGUAAAGCUCUUUUACCCGGGAUGAUAAUGACAGUACCGGGAGAAUAAGCUCCGGCUAACUCCGUG
This 433-nucleotide ribosomal RNA is filed under the name uncultured bacterium. RNAcentral's name for it is "partial 16S ribosomal RNA". It matches the Rfam family "Bacterial small subunit ribosomal RNA", at positions 29 to 507 of the family's 1533-position model. The record is from RNAcentral.